UGGGGAAUUUUGGACAAUGGGGGGAAACCCUGAUCCAGCCAUCCCGCGUGUGCGAUGAAGGCCUUCGGGUUGUAAAGCACUUUUGGCAGGAAAGAAACGUCGCGGGUUAAUACCCCGCGAAACUGACGGUACCUGCAGAAUAAGCACCGGCUAACUACGUGCCAGCAGCCGCGGUAAUACGUAGGGUGCAAGCGUUAAUCGGAAUUACUGGGCGUAAAGCGUGCGCAGGCGGCUCGGAAAGAAAGAUGUGAAAUCCCAGAGCUUAACUUUGGAACUGCAUUUUUAACUACCGGGCUAGAGUGUGUCAGAGGGAGGUGGAAUUCCGCGUGUAGCAGUGAAAUGCGUAGAUAUGCGGAGGAACACCGAUGGCGAAGGCAGCCUCCUGGGAUAACACUGACGCUCAUGCACGAAAGCGUGGGGGAGCAAACAGGAUUAGAUACCCUGGUAGUCCACGCCCUAAACGAUGUCAACUAGCUGUUGGGGCCUUCGGGCCUUGGUAGCGCAGCUAACGCGUGAAGUUGACCGCCUGGGGGAGUACGGUCGCAAGAUUAAAACUUAAAUGAAUUGAC
Molecule: ribosomal RNA, 569 nt
Filed under: uncultured bacterium
Lineage: Bacteria
Description: partial 16S ribosomal RNA
Rfam family: Bacterial small subunit ribosomal RNA
Source: RNAcentral